RNAcentral lists this ribosomal RNA (363 nucleotides) under uncultured Methanosaeta sp. RNAcentral's name for it is "bacterial SSU rRNA". It matches the Rfam family "Archaeal small subunit ribosomal RNA", at positions 976 to 1338 of the family's 1478-position model. Lineage: Archaea; Methanobacteriati; Methanobacteriota; Methanomicrobia; Methanotrichales; Methanotrichaceae. The record is from RNAcentral.
UUAGCUGAGAGGUGGUGCAUGGCCGUCGUCAGUUCGUACUGUGAAGCAUCCUGUUAAGUCAGGCAACGAGCGAGACCCACGCCCACAGUUGCCAGCGUACUCUCUGGAGUGACGGGUACACUGUGGGGACCGCCGCUGCUAAAGCGGAGGAAGGGAAUGGGCAACGGUAGGUCAGUAUGCCCCGAAUAUCCCGGGCUACACGCGAGCUACAAUGGUUGGUACAAUGGGUAUCUACCCCGAAAGGGGACGGGAAUCUCCUAAACCAAUCUUAGUUCGGAUUGAGGGCUGCAACUCGCCCUCAUGAAGCUGGAAUCCGUAGUAAUCGCGUUUCAACAGAACGCGGUGAAUACGUCCCUGCUCCUU